RNAcentral lists this ribosomal RNA (253 nucleotides) under uncultured bacterium. RNAcentral's name for it is "partial 16S ribosomal RNA". It matches the Rfam family "Bacterial small subunit ribosomal RNA", at positions 524 to 776 of the family's 1533-position model. The record is from RNAcentral.
UACGUAGGUGGCAAGCGUUGUCCGGAUUUACUGGGCGUAAAGGGCGCGUAGGCGGCCAUCUAAGUCAGACGUGAAAUCCCCCGGCUUAACCUGGGAACUGCGUCUGAUACUGGAAGGCUUGAGUAUGGGAGAGGGAUGUAGAAUUCCAGGUGUAGCGGUGAAAUGCGUAGAUAUCUGGAGGAAUACCGGUGGCGAAGGCGGCAUCCUGGACCAUUACUGACGCUGAGGCGCGAAAGCUAGGGGAGCAAACGGG